This 451-nucleotide ribosomal RNA is filed under the name uncultured bacterium. Its description in RNAcentral is "partial 16S ribosomal RNA". It matches the Rfam family "Bacterial small subunit ribosomal RNA", at positions 354 to 796 of the family's 1533-position model. The record is from RNAcentral.
GUGGGGAAUAUUGGACAAUGGGGGGAACCCUGAUCCAACCAUGCCGCGUGUGUGAAGAAGGCCUUUUGGUUGUAAAGCACUUUAAGCGAGGAGGAGGCUACCGAGAUUAAUACUCUUGGAUAGUGGACGUUACUCGCAGAAUAAGCACCGGCUAACUCUGUGCCAGCAGCCGCGGUAAUACAGAGGGUGCAAGCGUUAAUCGGAUUUACUGGGCGUAAAGCGCGCGUAGGUGGCCAAUUAAGUCAAAUGUGAAAUCCCCGAGCUUAACUUGGGAAUUGCAUUCGAUACUGGUUGGCUAGAGUAUGGGAGAGGAUGGUAGAAUUCCAGGUGUAGCGGUGAAAUGCGUAGAGAUCUGGAGGAAUACCGAUGGCGAAGGCAGCCAUCUGGCCUAAUACUGACACUGAGGUGCGAAAGCAUGGGGAGCAAACAGGAUUAGAAACCCGGGUAGUCC